RNAcentral lists this small nuclear RNA (20 nucleotides) under Arabidopsis thaliana (thale cress). Its description in RNAcentral is "snRNA_02240". Lineage: Eukaryota; Viridiplantae; Streptophyta; Magnoliopsida; Brassicales; Brassicaceae. The record is from RNAcentral.
AACUCCAUCUGUACUCACAA